Molecule: unclassified non-coding RNA, 389 nt
Filed under: uncultured fungus
Lineage: Eukaryota; Fungi
Description: partial contains 5.8S ribosomal RNA, internal transcribed spacer 2, and large subunit ribosomal RNA
Source: RNAcentral
AACGCACAUUGCGCUCUUUGGUAUUCCGAAGAGCAUGCCUGUUUGAGAACCUUGACGUCCCUCACAACCCCCUCAAUUUUUUUUAAAAAAAGUUGGUUGGGUUUGUGGUUUUGGAUUUUUCCUUGGAGUCUAAUUUCCGGGGUGAUCUGAAAAUUAUUGUUUGGUGGCAAGGCCUUCCAAUCCUCCACAAUAACAAACAGCUCAUAAGCAAAACGUGAUAAUUUGGGAAACCAAUUUUUUAACGUUGAUAACCUUGAUGCUGGUGGAACCAAGGAUCGGAGACCAUUUUUUGCAAAUAUCAACUCAACCUUAAUGCCAGGCAUCUUCCUCCGAAGAUGGACACCUGAACACCUGGUCUCAAAUCAGACAAGACUACCCGCUGAACUUAA